GCCGCCCGAGGACUCGGUCCUGCGAGCCGCCGGUCCCCACCCCGCCCCGUCUCCCUGUGUGUGUAGCUUUAAUUGCAGACACUCUCUGCGUAGGAUCAUCAUGCCGAGCAUAAACUGGACUUUCCCACUUGCCUGGCAGGAGUGAGACAGAUCACUGUGUGCUAAAUGAGCAUCUGAGCAGAGAAGGAAUGAAUGCUGCAUAAUUAAGUACAGUAUUUAAUUUGGCUGUUGUGAAGCAAAAGAAUAAGGUAAUAAUUUUUAUUGUACUAAUCAGUCUCAAGAUGUUCUCUGUGUUA
Molecule: long non-coding RNA, 296 nt
Filed under: Mustela putorius furo (domestic ferret)
Lineage: Eukaryota; Metazoa; Chordata; Mammalia; Carnivora; Mustelidae
Description: lncRNA (ENSMPUG00000024105.1)
Source: RNAcentral